Molecule: ribosomal RNA, 479 nt
Filed under: uncultured organism
Description: partial 16S ribosomal RNA
Rfam family: Bacterial small subunit ribosomal RNA
Source: RNAcentral
GUACACUCCUGCGGGAGGCAGCAGUGGGGAAUUUUGGACAAUGGGCGAAAGCCUGAUCCAGCCAUGCCGCGUGCAGGAUGAAGGCCUUCGGGUUGUAAACUGCUUUUGUACGGAACGAAACGGCCUUUUCUAAUAAAGAGGGCUAAUGACGGUACCGUAAGAAUAAGCACCGGCUAACUACGUGCCAGCAGCCGCGGUAAUACGUAGGGUGCAAGCGUUAAUCGGAAUUACUGGGCGUAAAGCGUGCGCAGGCGGUUAUGUAAGACAGUUGUGAAAUCCCCGGGCUCAACCUGGGAACUGCAUCUGUGACUGCAUAGCUAGAGUACGGUAGAGGGGGAUGGAAUUCCGCGUGUAGCAGUGAAAUGCGUAGAUAUGCGGAGGAACACCGAUGGCGAAGGCAAUCCCCUGGACCUGUACUGACGCUCAUGCACGAAAGCGUGGGGAGCAAACAGGAUUAGAAACCCUUGUAGUCCCAUGAU